This 481-nucleotide ribosomal RNA is filed under the name uncultured bacterium. RNAcentral's name for it is "bacterial SSU rRNA". It matches the Rfam family "Bacterial small subunit ribosomal RNA", at positions 501 to 985 of the family's 1533-position model. The record is from RNAcentral.
CUACGUGCCAGCAGCCGCGGUAAUACGGAAGGUUCGGGCGUUAUCCGGAUUUAUUGGGUUUAAAGGGUGCGUAGGCGGCCUGUUAAGUCAGCGGUGAAAUCUAGGAGCUUAACUCCUAAAUUGCCAUUGAUACUGGCGGGCUUGAGUGUAGAUGAGGUAGGCGGAAUGCGUGGUGUAGCGGUGGAAUGCAUAGAUAUCACGCAGAACUCCGAUUGCGAAGGCAGCUGACGGGAGCGCAACUGACGCUUAAGCUCGAAGGUGCGGGUAUCAAACAGGAUUAGAUACCCUGGUAGUCCGCACAGUAAACGAUGGAUGCCCGCUGUUGGUACCUGGUAUCAGCGGCUAAGCGAAAGCAUUAAGCAUCCCACCUGGGGAGUACGCCGGCAACGGUGAAACUCAAAGGAAUUGACGGGGGCCCGCACAAGCGGAGGAACAUGUGGUUUAAUUCGAUGAUACGCGAGGAACCUUACCCGGGCUUGAA